This 77-nucleotide transfer RNA is filed under the name Candidatus Hydrogenedentota bacterium. RNAcentral describes it as "tRNA-Trp". It matches the Rfam family "tRNA". From Rfam's summary of the family: Transfer RNA (tRNA) molecules are approximately 80 nucleotides in length. Lineage: Bacteria; Pseudomonadati; Candidatus Hydrogenedentota. The record is from RNAcentral. RNAcentral also lists the same sequence under 3 other names.
AGGACUGUAGCUCAAUCGGCUAGAGCAGCGGCCUCCAAAGCCGAAGGUUGGGGGUUCGAGUCCCUCCAGUCCUGCCA